ACAAAACUUUCCACCACGGAUCUCUUGGUUCUCGCAUCCAUGAAGAGCGCAGCGAAAUGGGAUACCUAGUGGGAAUUGGAGCCCUCGUGAAUCAUCCAGUUCUUGAACGCACAUUGCGCCCCUCGGCAUUCCGGGGGGCAUGCCUGGUUGAGCGUCCUU
This 159-nucleotide ribosomal RNA is filed under the name Pichia kudriavzevii. Its description in RNAcentral is "5.8S ribosomal RNA". It matches the Rfam family "5.8S ribosomal RNA". From Rfam's summary of the family: 5.8S ribosomal RNA (5.8S rRNA) is a component of the large subunit of the eukaryotic ribosome. It is transcribed by RNA polymerase I as part of the 45S precursor that also contains 18S and 28S rRNA. The record is from RNAcentral. Lineage: Eukaryota; Fungi; Ascomycota; Pichiomycetes; Pichiales; Pichiaceae.